This 492-nucleotide ribosomal RNA is filed under the name uncultured bacterium. RNAcentral's name for it is "partial 16S ribosomal RNA". It matches the Rfam family "Bacterial small subunit ribosomal RNA", at positions 29 to 507 of the family's 1533-position model. The record is from RNAcentral.
AGUGAACGCUGGCGGUAUGCCUAACACAUGCAAGUCGAACGGCAGCACAGUAAGAGUGUGCUCUUACGGUUGGCGACUGGCGGACGGGUGAGGAAUACAUCGGCAUCUACUUUUUCGUGGAUGACAACGUAGGGAAACUUACGCUAAUACCGCAUAUAAUCUACGGGUGAAAUCAGUGGAGCUUGGGACCUUUCGCGUUUCAAUUAGCCGAUGUCGGAUUAGCUAGUUGGCGGGGUAAAGGCCCACCAAGGCAACGAUCCGUAGCUGGUCUGAGAGGAUGAUCAGCCACACUGGAACUGAGACACGGUCCAGACUCCUACGGGAGGCAGCAGUAGGGAAUAUUCGGCAAUGGGCGAAAGCCUGACCGAGCAACGCCGCGUGGGUGAUGAAGGCCUUCGGAUUGUAAAGCCCUUUUAUUAGGGAAGAAAAACUGCGGAAGUAUCCACGCAUGUUCUGACGGUACCUAAUGAGUAAGCAACGGCUAACUUCGUG